This 109-nucleotide small nuclear RNA is filed under the name Suricata suricatta (meerkat). The record is from RNAcentral. Lineage: Eukaryota; Metazoa; Chordata; Mammalia; Carnivora; Herpestidae.
GUUAUAAAUAUUUUGACAGCCUAUGCCAUUAAAACUGCAACCAUACAGAUAGAUCAGCAUGGUCACUGCACAAGAGGGACAAGGAAUAAGUGAAGCAAUCCAUAUUUUU